Molecule: unclassified non-coding RNA, 379 nt
Filed under: plant metagenome
Description: partial contains 5.8S ribosomal RNA, internal transcribed spacer 2, and large subunit ribosomal RNA
Rfam family: 5.8S ribosomal RNA (bases 1-106)
Source: RNAcentral
CGAAAUGCGAUAAGUAAUGUGAAUUGCAGAAUUCAGUGAAUCAUCGAAUCUUUGAACGCACCUUGCGCUCCUUGGUAUUCCUUGGAGCAUGCCUGUUUGAGUAUCAUGAAAUCUUCAAAGUAAAUCUUUUGUUAACUCAAUUGGUUUCUACUUUGGUAUUGGAGGUCUUUGCAGCUUCACACCUGCUCCUCUUUGUUCAUUAGCUGGAUCUCAGUGUUAUGCUUGGUUCCACUCGGCGUUAUAAGUUAUCUAUCGCUGAGGACACUGUAAAAGGUGGCCAAGGUAAAUGCAGAUGAACCGCUUCUAAUAGUCCAUUGACUUGGACAAUACUUUUAUGAUCUGAUCUCAAAUCAGGUAGGACUACCCGCUGAACUUAAGC